AGCGAACGCUGGCGGCAGGCCUAACACAUGCAAGUCGAACGAACCUUUCGGGGUUAGUGGCGGACGGGUGAGUAACACGUGGGAACGUGCCUUUAGGUUCGGAAUAACUCAGGGAAACUUGUGCUAAUACCGAAUGUGCCCUUCGGGGGAAAGAUUAAUCGCCUUUAGAGCGGCCCGCGUCUGAUUAGCUAGUUGGUUGAGGUAAUGGCUCACCAAGGCGACGAUCAGUAGCUGGUCUGAGAGGAUGAUCAGCCACAUUGGGACUGAGACACGGCCCAAACUCCUACGGGAGGCAGCAGUGGGGAAUCUUGCGCAAUGUGCGAAGCCUGACGCAGCCAUGCCGCGUGAAUGAUGAAGGUCUUAGGAUUGUAAAAUUCUUUCACCGGGGACGAUAAUGACGGUACCCGGAGAAGAAGCCCCGGCUAACUUCGUG
This 433-nucleotide ribosomal RNA is filed under the name uncultured bacterium. RNAcentral describes it as "partial 16S ribosomal RNA". It matches the Rfam family "Bacterial small subunit ribosomal RNA", at positions 29 to 507 of the family's 1533-position model. The record is from RNAcentral.